CCUACGGGCGGCAGCAGUGGGGAAUAUUGCACAAUGGGGGAAACCCUGAUGCAGCGACGCCGCGUGAGUGAAGAAGUAUUUCGGUAUGUAAAGCUCUAUCAGCAGGGAAGAAAAUGACGGUACCUGAUUAAGAAGCCCCGGCUAACUACGUGCCAGCAGCCGCGGUAAUACGUAGGGGGCAAGCGUUAUCCGGAUUUACUGGGUGUAAAGGGAGCGGAGACGGCAGCACAAGUCUGGAGUGAAAUGCCUGGGCUUAACCCCGGAACUGCUUUGGAAACUGUGCAGCUGGAGUGCAGGAGAGGUAAGUGGAAUUCCUGGUGUAGCGGUGAAAUGCGUAGAUAGUAGGAGGAACACCAGUGGCGAAGGCGGCUUACUGGACUGUAACUGACGUUGAGGCUCGAAAGCGUGGGGAGCAAACAGGAUUAGAUACCCUUGUAGUC
This 440-nucleotide ribosomal RNA is filed under the name uncultured bacterium. Its description in RNAcentral is "partial 16S ribosomal RNA". It matches the Rfam family "Bacterial small subunit ribosomal RNA", at positions 338 to 795 of the family's 1533-position model. The record is from RNAcentral.